UACGGAGGGUGCAAGCGUUGUCCGGAAUCACUGGGCGUAAAGGGCGCGUAGGCGGCUUCAUGAAGGCUGUGGUGAAAGUCCGGGGCUCAACCUCGGAUCGGCCGUUGGCGACUCGUGGGCUGGAGCGACUGUAGAGGCGGGUGGAAUUCCGGGUGUAGCGGUGAAAUGCGUAGAGAUCCGGAAGAACACCGGUGGCGAAGGCGGUCUGCUGGGGUGAGGCUGACGCUGAUGCGCGACAGCGUGGGGAGGCAAACAGG
This 257-nucleotide ribosomal RNA is filed under the name uncultured bacterium. RNAcentral's name for it is "partial 16S ribosomal RNA". It matches the Rfam family "Bacterial small subunit ribosomal RNA", at positions 524 to 776 of the family's 1533-position model. The record is from RNAcentral.